RNAcentral lists this ribosomal RNA (568 nucleotides) under Exobasidium maculosum. RNAcentral describes it as "LSU rRNA". It matches the Rfam family "Eukaryotic large subunit ribosomal RNA", at positions 88 to 642 of the family's 3401-position model. The record is from RNAcentral. Lineage: Eukaryota; Fungi; Basidiomycota; Exobasidiomycetes; Exobasidiales; Exobasidiaceae.
GGCGAGUGAAGCGGGAUGAGCUCAAAUUUGAAAGCUGGCAGCAAUGUCCGCGUUGUAAUCUCGAGAGUUGUUUUCCGCGCUGGACCACGUACAAGUUCCUUGGAAUAGGAUGUCAUAGAGGGUGAAAAUCCCGUACUUGAUGUGGACGCCCAGUGCUUUGUGAUACAUCUUCGAAGAGUCGAGUUGUUUGGGAAUGCAGCUCAAAAUGGGUGGUAAAUUCCAUCUAAAGCUAAAUAUUGGGGAGAGACCGAUAGCGAACAAGUACCGUGAGGGAAAGAUGAAAAGCACUUUGGAAAGAGAGUUAAACAGUACGUGAAAUUGUCAAAAGGGAAGCAUUUGAAGUCAGACGUGUAUGGUAGUAUUCAGCCUUGCUUUUUGCUUGGUGUAUUUGCUAUUAUACAGGCCAACAUCAGUUUUGAAGGACGGAUAAGGGUACGAGGAAUGUAGCAUCUUCGGAUGUGUUUAUAGCCUUGUACUGGAUACGUCGUUUGGGACUGAGGAACGCAGCGCGCCUUUUAGGCAGACCCUCGGGUACUUUCGCGCUUAGGAUGUUGGCGUAAUGGCUUUA